Molecule: transfer RNA, 75 nt
Filed under: Syntrophothermus lipocalidus
Lineage: Bacteria; Bacillati; Bacillota; Clostridia; Eubacteriales; Syntrophomonadaceae
Description: tRNA-Val
Rfam family: tRNA
About the family: Transfer RNA (tRNA) molecules are approximately 80 nucleotides in length. Their secondary structure includes four short double-helical elements and three loops (D, anti-codon, and T loops).
Source: RNAcentral
GGGCGAUUAACUCAGUGGGAGAGUGCUUCCUUCACACGGAAGAAGUCACAGGUUCGAAUCCUGUAUCGCCCACCA